RNAcentral lists this ribosomal RNA (502 nucleotides) under uncultured bacterium. RNAcentral's name for it is "partial 16S ribosomal RNA". It matches the Rfam family "Bacterial small subunit ribosomal RNA", at positions 30 to 523 of the family's 1533-position model. The record is from RNAcentral.
AUUGAACGCUGGCGGAAUGCUUUACACAUGCAAGUCGAACGGCAGCACGGGAGCUUGCUCCUGGUGGCGAGUGGCGAACGGGUGAGUAAUAUAUCGGAACGUAUCCAAUAAUGGGGGAUAACUAGUCGAAAGAUUAGCUAAUACCGCAUACGCCCUGAGGGGGAAAGCUGGGGAUCUUCGGACCUAGCGUUAAUGGAGCGGCCGAUAUCUGAUUAGCUAGUAGGUGAGGUAAAAGCUCACCUAGGCGACGAUCAGUAGCUGGUCUGAGAGGACGACCAGCCACACUGGAACUGAGACACGGUCCAGACUCCUACGGGAGGCAGCAGUGGGGAAUUUUGGACAAUGGGCGCAAGCCUGAUCCAGCCAUUCCGCGUGAGUGAAGAAGGCCUUCGGGUUGUAAAGCGCUUUCGCAAGGGAAGAAAACUUAACCUCUAACAUAGGUUGAGGCUGACGGUACCUUGAUAAGAAGCACCGGCUAACUACGUGCCAGCAGCCGCAGUAA